RNAcentral lists this ribosomal RNA (515 nucleotides) under uncultured bacterium. Its description in RNAcentral is "partial 16S ribosomal RNA". It matches the Rfam family "Bacterial small subunit ribosomal RNA", at positions 28 to 523 of the family's 1533-position model. The record is from RNAcentral.
GAUGAACGCUGGCGGCGUGCCUAAUACAUGCAAGUCGAGCGAAUGGAUUAAGAGCUUGCUCUUAUGAAAUUAGCGGCGGACGGGUGAGUAACACGUGGGUAACCUGCCCAUAAGACUGGGAUAACUCCGGGAAACCGGGGCUAAUACCGGAUAACAUUUUGAACCGCAUGGUUCGAAAUUGAAAGGCGGCUUCGGCUGUCACUUAUGGAUGGACCCGCGUCGCAUUAGCUAGUUGCUGAGGUAACGGCUCACCAAGGCAACGAUGCGUAGCCGACCUGAAAGGGUGAUCGGCCACACUGGGACUGAGACACGGCCCAGACUCCUACGGGAGGCAGCAGUAGGGAAUCUUCCGCAAUGGACGAAAGUCUGACGGAGCAACGCCGCGUGAGUGAUGAAGGCUUUCGGGUCGUAAAACUCUGUUGUUAGGGAAGAACAAGUGCUAGUUGAAUAAGCUGGCACCUUGACGGUACCUAACCAGAAAGCCACGGCUAACUACGUGCCAGCCGCCGCCGUAA